Molecule: long non-coding RNA, 329 nt
Organism: Harpia harpyja (harpy eagle)
Lineage: Eukaryota; Metazoa; Chordata; Aves; Accipitriformes; Accipitridae
Exons: 3
Source: RefSeq, a predicted model, not a curated record
GGACUUGUGACCUGGCGGGGGACCCACGCUGGAGCAGUCUGUGCCUGAAGGACUGCAGCCCGGGCAAGGGACCCACAUUGGAGAAGUUUGUGGAGGACUGUCUCCUGUGGGAGGGACCCCACGGUGGAGCAGGGGAAGAGUGAGGAGUCCUGCCCCUGAGGAGGAAGGAGCGGCAGAGACAAGCAAAAGGAACAGCAGGCAUCAAAUGAAGCUGGAAGAAGUCAUGCUCAAAACAGAAGAGGUGAUUCUUCGUGCAGCAGAUUUGUCUUGGACCUAUGUUAAAGUGAACUCCUGAGAGGCCCAGUCCUGCGACGGAUGAGGAGCUAAGC